UCUUCCUUUGUAACCGCCAAC
This is a non-coding RNA of Caenorhabditis elegans, 21 nucleotides long. The record is from Ensembl. NCBI's taxonomy places the organism in Eukaryota, Metazoa, Nematoda, Chromadorea, Rhabditida, Rhabditidae.